This is a long non-coding RNA of Vicia villosa (hairy vetch), 5468 nucleotides long. RefSeq lists it as uncharacterized. The transcript is spliced from 8 exons. NCBI's taxonomy places the organism in Eukaryota, Viridiplantae, Streptophyta, Magnoliopsida, Fabales, Fabaceae. The record is from RefSeq and is a predicted model, not a curated record.
CCGCACUCAAAAAAUAUCAGGUGGCAUCGAGCUCAAACCCAAUCAACUCGGGUUUUUAACCGUUGACUCGGGUUCGGGUGGCCCCGCGAUUUUGGUAUGCUUGCCAUCCGAGAGGACAAAAUUGUAAUUACACAUACUUUCAACUAAUCAUCUUCUACCACCAUGUUGCCUUCUCCACAGCCAAAAUCGCCGCCGCCACCGGCAAUACUGAUAUGCCUCGUUCCGCCGCAAACGGCGUUCCAAACUAGCUGUUGUGCAAAAUCAUAAUCCAACCACCCUCGUGGUUAAACUUAAAUGAUGCUCACCAGUCUUCUCUCCAUCACACUAUCGUCUCUCCCCCCCAAUUGAAGUACAUGCCCCAAUACAUGGAAGAUUCUUCAAAGAUCUGAGUAGUAACUGUUACGGCCAGUGUAUUAUUUUGUGAUCCAUUUUGCAAACAGGACUACAUGCCUACUGUCUUUGACGAUUUCAAAGCAAAUGCGGCUGCCAUGGGAGCAAUGACAAAAUGACAACCCUGGCUUGUCAAUAUUGCUGUACACCCCCCCAAGCAACAAGGCAACAGCGAAUGUGAAGAAGAAUCUCAUGAAAUUGUAAUAUGGAUUGCGCCAGUAAGACCAAUGUUGUUUCCAUAAGCAAGCCAUACAUUGAACGAAAAAGGACCUCGAGUACUUCGAAGGAAAUUCAAGGUCCUUUGAACUAGGAGAUGGAGUGCUCAAUUCUUCAAUAAGAGCUUUGUUUCUCCUGCAACAAAUAUCACCUCUUGCAUCUAACCCAGAAGUUGGCUCAUCCAUGAAUAUGAUAGAAGGAUUAGCAACCAACUCAACUGCAAUAGUCAACCUUUUUCGCUGCUCAGUUGAGAGACCGGUUAUACCAGGGAGACCAACAUAUGCAUCCCUUAUUGAGUUCAGCUCCACUAGCUCCAUGACUUCCUCAACAAACAUCUGCAAUCGGAGCCAUGCUGAAUAGAGCAAGGAUUCAUAGACAGUAAUAUGAGGAGAGUGUAUAUCAUUUUGCUCACAAUAUCCCGAAAUUCUUGCAAAGGUGUCUUGCUUUUUGGGAUACCCGGAAACUGUGAUGUUUCCAGUAAUAUAGCCCCCGGUUUUUCUACCAGCAAGUACAUCCAUCAAAGUUGUUUUUCCAGCACCAGUGACACCCAUAAGUGCAGUGAGAACGCCUGGCCUAAAAGCUCCGCUGACACGGUUCAGAAGAACCAACUUAUCUUCUGUGACACCCUGACUCCUCAUUGCCUUCAAGUUUAGAACAAAGAUUUAAUGAAACUGAUUUAAAAAUUAAGAACCGAGAGCGGAAUGCAAAUUUUUUUUCGUUUAAGUAAAUAUUACCGGAGGCAUGUCUACAGAAUAUGAGACGUCAUCAAAGGACUGUAACCGAUGACGUAAUAGGUAAGAAAUGUCCAAGCUGCUGCUUCAGCAAAUGUUAUCGGGAUUUUCAGGAUCCAUGUAGGAAGAGCAUAUGCCCAAGAAGGGUAGAAGAGAAGGUCCCUUUGCUUGUAAAACACUGGAAGCCUCGCAAUCGUCGUCGCAAGAUCAGCAAACCCAUUAAACAUGACCACCAAAUUUCCGAAGAACAAUGCACCGGCAUAAAUGCCCCCAUCAAUCACUGAAUUGUGGUGCAUUCCAGUUCGGAGAAAAACGGUCAUGGUAGCAGUAGCCAUCACAGAAAUCUUAAAAGGAGGAUAAAUGCAUCAGUGAUGGAGUAACAGGUACAUAGUUUAUACAUAAAAUGAGAAAUUAUAAUGUUCUAAUUGUUUAAACCUACUUGGCAAAGUUUGAAUUUAUAGUAAAAUGCAUUGCGCCUCAUAAGUAAAUAUUCUCUUGCUAAGCAAGCUUUGAAUAAUUCCCACUUUCCAAUUCCAUACGUGUUGGUCGUCAAAGCAGCUGGGUGGCUUUGAGACUUGUCAAAUGGAGUAACAAGUUCAUUGCCAAGAGUUCUCCCAACAUGAAAUGACUCAAAUAUCUCAGCAAACUCCUUAGGUGUCACAAAUUUAUAAGGCUUCCUUCUUUCUACCCAAUAUUGCUCCUGAUCUUUCAUUGAUGUCACCUACAACAGUAUGCGCAAAAUUAAACUGUAAAAACUCACUCCUAUCCGUAUAGACUGUAGAAAGAAGAUAAGGAUACACUUACUUCUUGUAAAAAGUCUGCCACAGAUUUUCUCUCGGGACACUUAAAACCUAAUGAACCAAAAAAUUCUAGCACAUGUUCACAAGGACCCUGGUACACAAUGUGUCCCUCAGAGAGUAGAAUAAUGUCGUCAAAAAGAUCAUAAGUCUCUGGUGGUGGCUGCAACAGUGAGAUCACAGCGGUUCCGUUGAGAAGUUGGACCGACUGCUUCACUGAUUUCACAACUUGAUAGGUUGUUGAGCUAUCCAAACCGGUUGAUAUUUCAUCCAUGAAAAGAGCCUUAGCUGUUCCUACUAGCAUCUCCCCUGUAUUAAUAGAUUCAUAACGUUUUCUCAUUGCCACUAUAUUAUGGUGAAUCAUGAUGUUAUUCAUCAAUAUCAAAAUCAAGUAUGUUUUACCUGUUGUAACCCGUUUCCUUUGUCCACCAGAGACGCCUCUUAACAUUGGACCUCCCACCACUGUAUCUGCACAACUCUCUAGUCCCAAAAGCUGAAAAUAUAAAGCAAAUAAAACUAAAUUAGUUGCUACCCUAUGAGGAUCAAAGAAGGCUUUGUGUGUAUGAAUUUUUACCUUUAAAGUAUAAUCUACUGCAAGAUUUUCUUUCCCGCCCUCAGUUGCAACAGCCUAAACAUAUUUCCAAGUCACAAGUUCAUUAGCUAUUAUAUUCAUAAUUGAAAAUAGGAAAGAAAAAGAUGGUGCGUGCGUCGUCUCCUACCUUCAUAUAGAUAUCUAUAUCUGGAUCAGGGAAGAUGUUUCUCUCAAUUUCUCUUCUAGAUAAUUCUUCUAGCAUAUCUGCAUUUUACCAAAGAUAUUCCUUUUCAACUUAGAAUCAUGUUUUCAAAUUUCAAAUGUUUUGAAAUUGCAUCGAGAUGAAACAUUUAGAAAAAAAUGCAAUGUCAUGUACUAACCUAUUCUAGAUCCAACACCUUGGAAUCUUGCUGAGAAGGCUAAAGUUUCUCUAACUGUCAACUCUCCAAUGUGAAGAUCGUUUUGACUGACAUAAGCAGCAGUUCUUUGAGUAACCUUUAGAUUGGGAUCAAGUUUUCCAGCCAAGGCCAAAAGGAGUGUCGUUUUUCCAGAACUUGGAGGGCCCAAAAGCAAUGUCAUCCUGGAGAUAUAUAGGUUUGGCGACGGGGAAUACUUUCAACAAUGCAUGCAAGCGUUUUAUCGGUCAAGGGUGCCUCGUUAUCAAUGCAACCGUCUAGCCCUGCACUGAAAAAUUCUUCCCGUUGUACUUCUGUAAGGAAACGCGUCACGCCAACAAUCGUUGUAGGGUACUCCAUGUCUCGCAGCAUCUUCGUCAUCUGCAUAAAGCGCGUGAAUGAAUCUCAUUAUCAGUAUAUAUUAUGCUUAGGCCACAAGAAAUUAAUAUAUAGAGACAAAUGUAGUUACCUGAACCCCAUCAAUGACAGGUAAAUACCUACCAAGGAGAAUUAAGUCAUAGACUUCCUCAACACAAAUUAUUUUUAUAGCUUCUUGGCCAGUUUUCACUGAACGAGUUUCCACACCAAGUUUAUUCAACAUAACUUCAUGAACCUUUCCAAUGCAGUCAUCAUGGUGCACAACAAGUGCUCUUAUUAUUCUUCGAUGGGGGCUUGGUGAAAGAUCAUCAUCUUCACUAUCUUCACUAUCAGAUAACAUUAUUUGUUUACCUUUAUGAUCACUUAUACUGACCAUCUUUCUAUACAAUUGAUGAUAUAUCAAUUCAAUUAAUUAUACCACUUGGAUCUGUUACAUAUAUAAAAAGAAAAUCAUUAUUUUCUUUUCUAUACAAGAAAGAUAUAUAAUUUGAAAUAGCACAAUUUCACAACAUAUUGAAAUAGAGCUAACCUUGCUCAAUGUGAGACUGAGAAUUUGGUUUCUUUCUUCUUCUCCCUGACAAUUCUCACACUCUAAAAGAGGGAUUAAUGGAUGGCUGUAUGAAGAAAUAAAAGAAAGUGAGUUAUUCAUGAUAAAGAUGGUUCACUGCUAAAGCUAUAUACAUAAUUAGAAGAACUCAAGAUGAUGAAUUAGUUUGCAGUAGCACUUGCCUUGUGGAGAAGUCUUGAUUCUGUGGGAGUGAGUGAGUGGAGAAACAAAGUAAAUGUGUGUUAAAUGGAUAUGAAUGCUGAGAAUGUAAUUGUAAGAAUUUUUAAGUCAUGCUAUCUAAAUAUAUAUGAAUGAAUAUGAAAGGAAGCAAAAAAAAAAGUUAGUUAGUUAGUUAGGUAGUUAGUUAGAAAGUGUGUUUGGAUUCUGUUGAACCAAUUAAAUUAACUGCCAAACUAACUCAUGUUUUGUUUGUUACUGAUAUAUUGAAACUGAUUGUGAAUCACCUACUCUAUGGGGCUUUUCUUGACUAUGAAUUAUAUUAUGUUUACAACAACAAAAAAAUCAAUUAGAAUUAAUUAAAAAAACUGGCUAUAAAUCCUCAUGAACAAUUUUCACACAAUUAUAAUUUAUAAUUCCACAAUGAUAAAGCAAAUUAAACUGGUAGUAUUAAACAAUGUUGAACCAUAGUACUUUCUAUUCAAUGUAGAAUACUGCACAGGCUCUCUACGACAAUUACUUACAAUGGUACACUUAACAUCUUGAUAAACAUGACAAAAAACCAACACAAAAGCCACUGUGAAUCCAACUACAGCUGCAGCUAUUCCCACAAAAUCAUGCUUGAAACCAUAGUAACUUUCCCAAAAGUCUUCUACUGAAACACUUCUCCCAUUGAAUUCAUUAGCAAGAGAAGAAUACAUUCCUGCAGAAUUUUCCUUAUAGAAGACCACUCUCUCAAUACCCACUACUCCUUGAAGCAAUGCAGUAAAACAUGCUCCCAAAAAAGAGGGAGGCAACAGUUGUGACGAGAAACCUUAAUCCCUUGUAUUGUAGAUUCCGCUAGUAAGACCAAUGUUGUUUCCAUAAGAAAGCUUUGCAUUGAGUACUUUGAAGGAAAAUGAAUGUCCACAGAACCAGGAGCUGGACUGCUCAGUUCUGCAGUAAGAGCUUUGUUUCUCCUAAACCAGAUGUCACAAGAAUCAUUUCACACAAGAUAUAUUUAGGAGAAUUAUACAUGGCACCCUCCAAAUUAUACAUGUCACCUCCACAUUUUAGGUUAUUUUUAAAAUGCCCCUGACACUAUUUACUCAUAAUUUUUACCAUUUUUUAAAAAACAUUACUUUGGCGAAAAUCAUCAAAAAGCAAAUUUCCGGCACCCUUUUUUGGCCGAUACCGAAAAUUCUUAGUUUUUUUUGUGCAAAAUUUCGGUAUCCGUAACCGGAAAUAUUUCCGGUGCGAUUUAUAAAACAUUACGCCGUCUCGGCAAUUUCAUAAAUUUUCGGUAAAAAAUCAAUACCCAAAAUU